CGCGGGGUGGGGCGCCCGGUAGCUCGUCAGGCUCGUAAUCUGAAGGCCACAGGUUCAAACCUACCCCCGCAACCA
RNAcentral lists this transfer RNA (75 nucleotides) under Ditibartonella choladocola. RNAcentral's name for it is "Bartonella choladocola tRNA-Thr". It matches the Rfam family "tRNA". From Rfam's summary of the family: Transfer RNA (tRNA) molecules are approximately 80 nucleotides in length. The record is from RNAcentral. Lineage: Bacteria; Pseudomonadati; Pseudomonadota; Alphaproteobacteria; Hyphomicrobiales; Bartonellaceae.